Molecule: ribosomal RNA, 429 nt
Filed under: Gemmatimonadota bacterium
Lineage: Bacteria; Pseudomonadati; Gemmatimonadota
Description: Gemmatimonadetes bacterium partial 16S ribosomal RNA
Rfam family: Bacterial small subunit ribosomal RNA
Source: RNAcentral
UAGGGAAUCUUCGGCAAUGGACGAAAGUCUGACCGAGCAACGCCGCGUGAGUGAAGAAGGUUUUCGGAUCGUAAAACUCUGUUGUUAGAGAAGAACAAGGACGUUAGUAACUGAACGUCCUCUGACGGUAUCUAACCAGAAAGCCACGGCUAACUACGUGCCAGCAGCCGCGGUAAUACGUAGGUGGCAAGCGUUGUCCGGAUUUAUUGGGCGUAAAGCGAGCGCAGGCGGUUUCUUAAGUCUGAUGUGAAAGCCCCCGGCUCAACCGGGGAGGGUCAUUGGAAACUGGGAGACUUGAGUGCAGAAGAGGAGAGUGGAAUUCCAUGUGUAGCGGUGAAAUGCGUAGAUAUAUGGAGGAACACCAGUGGCGAAGGCGGCUCUCUGGUCUGUAACUGACGCUGAGGCUCGAAAGCGUGGGGAGCAAACAGG